GCGUAGGGUGAGUCGGCCCCUAAGGCGAGGCAGAAAUGCGUAGCUGAUGGGAAGCAGGUCAAUAUUCCUGCACCAUUGUUAGAUGCGAUGGGGGGACGGAUCGCGGAAGGUUGUCCGGGUGUUGGAAGUCCCGGUCGCUGCAUUGGAGAAGGCGCUUAGGCAAAUCCGGGCGCGGAAUUCAAGGGUGUGGCGCGAGCUCCUUAGGGAGCGAAGCAAUUGGAAGUGGUUCCAAGAAAAGCCUCUAAGCUUCAGUCUAACGAUGACCGUACCGCAAACCGACACAGGUGGGCGAGAUGAGUAUUCUAAGGCGCUUGAGAGAACUCGGGAGAAGGAACUCGGCAAAUUGGUACCGUAACUUCGGGAUAAGGUACGCCCUUGUAGCUUGACUGGCUUGCGCCAGAAGGGUGAAGGGGUUGCAAUAAACUGGUGGCUGCGACUGUUUAAUAAAAACACAGCACUCUGCAAACACGAAAGUGGACGUAUAGGGUGUGACGCCUGCCCGGUGCCGGAAGAUUAAAUGAUGGGGUGCAAGCUCUUGAUUGAAGUCCCGGUAAACGGCGGCCGUAACUAUAACGGUCCUAAGGUAGCGAAAUUCCUUGUCGGGUAAGUUCCGACCUGCACGAAUGGCGUAACGAUGGCCACACUGUCUCCUCCCGAGACUCAGCGAAGUUGAAGUGUUUGUGAUGAUGCAAUCUACCCGCGGCUAGACGGAAAGACCCCAUGAACCUUUACUGUAGCUUUGCAUUGGACUUUGAACCGAUCUGUGUAGGAUAGGUGGGAGGCUAUGAAACCGGAACGCUAGUUUCGGUGGAGCCGUCCUUGAAAUACCACCCUGGUUUGUUUGAGGUUCUAACCUUGGCCCGUGAUCCGGGUCGGGGACAGUGCAUGGUAGGCAGUUUGACUGGGGCGGUCUCCUCCCAAAGCGUAACGGAGGAGUACGAAGGUACGCUAGGUACGGUCGGAAAUCGUGCUGAUAGUGCAAUGGCAUAAGCGUGCUUAACUGCGAGACCGACAAGUCGAGCAGGUGCGAAAGCAGGUCAUAGUGAUCCGGUGGUUCUGUAUGGAAGGGCCAUCGCUCAACGGAUAAAAGGUACUCUGGGGAUAACAGGCUGAUACCGCCCAAGAGUUCAUAUCGACGGCGGUGUUUGGCACCUCGAUGUCGGCUCAUCUCAUCCUGGGGCUGUAGCCGGUCCCAAGGGUAUGGCUGUUCGCCAUUUAAAGAGGUACGUGAGCUGGGUUUAAAACGUCGUGAGACAGUUUGGUCCCUAUCUGCCGUGGGCGUUGGAUAUUUGAAGGGGGCUGCUCCUAGUACGAGAGGACCGGAGUGGACGAACCUCUGGUGUACCGGUUGUCACGCCAGUGGCAUCGCCGGGUAGCUAUGUUCGGAAGAGAUAACCGCUGAAAGCAUCUAAGCGGGAAACUCGCCUUAAGAUGAGAUAUCCCUGGGGACUAGAUCCCCUUGAAGGGUCGUUCGAGACCAGGACGUUGAUAGGUCAGGUGUGUAAGCGCAGUAAUGCGUUCAGCUAACUGAUACUAAUUGCCCGUAAGGCUUGAUCCU
Molecule: ribosomal RNA, 1558 nt
Filed under: Rahnella victoriana
Lineage: Bacteria; Pseudomonadati; Pseudomonadota; Gammaproteobacteria; Enterobacterales; Yersiniaceae
Description: partial 23S ribosomal RNA
Rfam family: Bacterial large subunit ribosomal RNA
Source: RNAcentral